UUAUCUCCAUCCCAGAGUCAGCUUCCCUGCCCGGCCUGACCUGCUUUCCUGGCUGACAGUGAGCUGCUUGUCAUUCAGGAGAUGGCUGUGACAACAGUUUGACAACCUAUUGGGAAGGUCUAUAUGAAGAUCUACAGAGGAGGUGUGAAGACCAGAUUUGGAAAUCAAUGCUAACUGAGGGUUACUGACAUGAACAAGAACCCAUGACGAGUAAGUGGCAGAAAAGGGACUUAGAACUGAGCUCUUACAAAAUAGAUGACAACAGGACUUUAAAAACAAAGGACAGGGAUCUACGAGGUCACCAGAAGCAGGGAGCCAGGAGAAUGGCUCUAAGGAUCUGCUGGAGUACAAACGGCAUGGCCCAGAUGUGUGACGGUGGGACAUGGUCACAGCGCUGAUACAGGGCGCAGGGAAUUCUCAGCUCCGGUCCUCUUGGCCGCAAGUCGGAACGUGCAUACCGCGGCAGCCUUUCUUGUGGGACGUGCUGAAAGCCUGCUCCUCCAUCUCUGCUCAUCUCCGGCAGCAGAGCACACAGAGCAAGGCGACGAUGCGACACAGGGCUAUGCAAGCCGCUUUCUGGUGACUGUUGACCAGCCAGGCGACAGGCGGCGCGGGGGCACCGGCUCCGCAUCCCUGUUAGGCAAUUAGCUGAUUGCUCUCGCCCGCAGCCCGAGCGGAGCGCGGGGAUUUCACCGCCUGCCCACCUCCACUGCAAACAGAGGCACGUUCUCCGACUUUGAUAGCUCCCUGGGUUCUUGUGAAAAACAACCACAGCGUUGCCAUAGCGUAUUUCUCAAAUACCAGCAUCAGGGGAUUGCAGAAUUACAGCAACAAAUGUUACGAGGUACUAUUUGCAAAUAGACAUGCAGCAAAAUAAUCCAAAUAGGACCAUUAAAUAAUAAUCCUCAUUAAAACCAAA
Long non-coding RNA from Zalophus californianus (California sea lion), 919 nucleotides. RefSeq lists it as uncharacterized. Lineage: Eukaryota; Metazoa; Chordata; Mammalia; Carnivora; Otariidae. The record is from RefSeq and is a predicted model, not a curated record. The transcript has 3 exons.